UAACUGUCUCUUACAGGCAAUCGGUGAAAUUGAUCUCCCUGUGCGAAAGCAGGGAUAACCCCAUAAGACGAGAAGACCCUGUGGAACUUCAAAAACAGCAACCACCCCAACAUACAUCCACACCCACCUCGGGCGCACUUAUCAACAAAGCACUGGUUUGCAUUUUUUCGGUUGGGGCGACCUUGGAGCAAAACAGAACCUCCAAAAACUGGACCUUCCCUCCAAACCAAGAGCAACCACUCAACGUGCCAAGAGCACCCAGACCCAAUAUAAUUGAUCAAUGGACCAAGCUACCCCAGGGAUAACAGCGCGAUCUCCUCCAAGAGUCCAUAUCGACGAGGAGGUUUACGACCUCGAUGUUGGAUCAGGACAUCCUAGUGGUGCAGGAGCUACUAAGGGUUCGUUUGUUCAACGAUUAACAGUCCUACGUGAUCUGAGUUCAGACCGGAGCAAUCCAGGUCGGUUUCUAUCUAUGAUGAACUCUUCCUCGUACGAAAGGAUCGGAAAAGUGAGGCCAAUACCACAAGCAAGCCUUCGCCUUAAGUAAUGAAACCAACUCAAUUACAAAAGGCUAUCACCCCACAUCACGUCCUAGAAAAGG
RNAcentral lists this ribosomal RNA (601 nucleotides) under Alaudala rufescens (lesser short-toed lark). Its description in RNAcentral is "Calandrella rufescens (lesser short-toed lark) partial 16S ribosomal RNA". It matches the Rfam family "Bacterial large subunit ribosomal RNA", at positions 2013 to 2849 of the family's 2925-position model. The record is from RNAcentral. Lineage: Eukaryota; Metazoa; Chordata; Aves; Passeriformes; Alaudidae.